AGCUCGGUCUGUGUACAAGACGCUUUCUGCCAUUGUGCUUUUACACGGAACAGCUGC
Molecule: microRNA precursor, 57 nt
Filed under: Oreochromis niloticus (Nile tilapia)
Lineage: Eukaryota; Metazoa; Chordata; Actinopteri; Cichliformes; Cichlidae
Description: microRNA oni-mir-10906 precursor
Source: miRBase by way of RNAcentral